Molecule: ribosomal RNA, 1452 nt
Filed under: uncultured bacterium
Lineage: Bacteria
Description: 16S ribosomal RNA
Rfam family: Bacterial small subunit ribosomal RNA
Source: RNAcentral
GAUGAACGCUAGCGGCAGGCUUAACACACUGCAAGUCGAGGGGCAUCGGGAGGGAAGCUUGCUUUCCUUGCCGGCGACCGGCGCACGGGUGAGUAACACGUAUGCAACCUGCCCUCUUCAGGGGGACAACCUUCCGAAAGGGAGGCUAAUCCCGCGUAUAUCGGUUUCGGGCAUCCGAGAUCGAGGAAAGAUUCAUCGGAAGAGGAUGGGCAUGCGGCGCAUUAGCUUGACGGCGGGGUAACGGCCCACCGUGGCGACGAUGCGUAGGGGUUCUGAGAGGAAGGUCCCCCACACUGGUACUGAGACACGGACCAGACUCCUACGGGAGGCAGCAGUGAGGAAUAUUGGUCAAUGGGAGAGAUCCUGAACCAGCCAAGCCGCGUGAGGGAAGACGGCCCUAUGGGUUGUAAACCUCUCUUGUCGGAGAACAAAACCCGGGACGUGUCCCGGACUGCGUGUAUCCGAAGAAAAAGCAUCGGCUAACUCCGUGCCAGCAGCCGCGGUAAUACGGAGGAUGCGAGCGUUAUCCGGAUUUAUUGGGUUUAAAGGGUGCGUAGGCGGUCCGUUAAGUCAGCGGUAAAAUUGCGGGGCUCAACCCCGUCGAGCCGUUGAAACUGGCAGACUUGAGUUGGCGAGAAGUACGCGGAAUGCGCGGUGUAGCGGUGAAAUGCAUAGAUAUCGCGCAGAACUCCGAUUGCGAAGGCAGCGUACCGGCGCCAGACUGACGCUGAGGCACGAAAGCGUGGGGAUCGAACAGGAUUAGAUACCCUGGUAGUCCACGCAGUAAACGAUGAAUGCUGGUUGUCCGGGUCGAAUGAGAUCUGGGCGGCGAAGCGAAAGCGAUAAGCAUUCCACCUGGGGAGUACGCCGGCAACGGUGAAACUCAAAGGAAUUGACGGGGGCCCGCACAAGCGGAGGAACAUGUGGUUUAAUUCGAUGAUACGCGAGGAACCUUACCCGGGCUCAAACGGGAGUGGAAUGGACCAGAGACGGUUCAGCCUACGGGCCGCUUCCGAGGUGCUGCAUGGUUGUCGUCAGCUCGUGCCGUGAGGUGUCGGCUUAAGUGCCAUAACGAGCGCAACCCCCGCCGGCAGUUGCUAACGGGCAAUGCCGAGGACUCUGCCGGGACUGCCGCCGCAAGGCGAGAGGAAGGCGGGGAUGACGUCAAAUCAGCACGGCCCUUACGUCCGGGGCGACACACGUGUUACAAUGGGCGGUACAGCGGGAAGCCAGGCGGCGACGCCGAGCGGAACCCGAAAGCCGUUCUCAGUUCGGAUCGGAGUCUGCAACCCGACUCCGUGAAGCUGGAUUCGCUAGUAAUCGCGCAUCAGCCAUGGCGCGGUGAAUACGUUCCCGGGCCUUGUACACACCGCCCGUCAAGCCAUGGGAGCCGGGGGUGCUUGGAGUGCGUCGCCGCGAGGCGCGCCCUAGAGCAAAACCGGUGACUGGGGC